Molecule: ribosomal RNA, 500 nt
Filed under: uncultured bacterium
Lineage: Bacteria
Description: partial 16S ribosomal RNA
Rfam family: Bacterial small subunit ribosomal RNA
Source: RNAcentral
AUUGAACGCUGGCGGAAUGCUUUACACAUGCAAGUCGAACGGCAGCACGGACUUCGGUCUGGUGGCGAGUGGCGAACGGGUGAGUAAUGUAUCGGAACGUGCCCAGUCGUGGGGGAUAACGUAGUGAAAAUUACGCUAAUACCGCAUACGAUCUAUGGAUGAAAGCGGGGGAUCGCAAGACCUCGCGCGAUUGGAGCGGCCGAUAUCAGAUUAGGUAGUUGCUGGGGUAAAGGCCCACCAAGCCAACGAUCUGUAGCUGGUCUGAGAGGACGACCAGCAACACUGGAAAUGAGACACGGUCCAGACUCCUACGGGAGGCAGCAGUGGGGAAUUUUGGACAAUGGGCGAAGGCCUGAUCCAGCCAUUCCGCGUGCAGGAUGAAGGCCCUCGGGUUGUAAACUGCUUUUGUACAGAACGAAAAGGUUUCUACUAAUACUAGGAGCUCAUGACGGUACUGUAAGAAUAAGCACCGGCUAACUACGUGCCAGCCGCCGCCGUAA